GAUGAACGCUGGCGGCGUGCUUAACACAUGCAAGUCGAACGAUGAAGCCCAGCUUGCUGGGUGGAUUAGUGGCGAACGGGUGAGUAACACGUGAGCAACCUGCCCCUGACUCUGGGAUAAGCGCUGGAAACGGCGUCUAAUACUGGAUAUGUCCCGUCACCGCAUGGUGUGCGGGUGGAAAGAUUUUUCGGUUGGGGAUGGGCUCGCGGCCUAUCAGCUUGUUGGUGAGGUAAUGGCUCACCAAGGCGUCGACGGGUAGCCGGCCUGAGAGGGUGACCGGCCACACUGGGACUGAGACACGGCCCAGACUCCUACGGGAGGCAGCAGUGGGGAAUAUUGCACAAUGGGCGGAAGCCUGAUGCAGCAACGCCGCGUGAGGGAUGACGGCCUUCGGGUUGUAAACCUCCUUUAGCAGGGAAGAAGCGAAAGUGACGGUACCUGCAGAAAAAGCACCGGCUAACUACGUG
This 467-nucleotide ribosomal RNA is filed under the name uncultured bacterium. RNAcentral's name for it is "partial 16S ribosomal RNA". It matches the Rfam family "Bacterial small subunit ribosomal RNA", at positions 28 to 507 of the family's 1533-position model. The record is from RNAcentral.